Long non-coding RNA from Pleuronectes platessa (European plaice), 3321 nucleotides. RefSeq lists it as uncharacterized. The record is from RefSeq and is a predicted model, not a curated record. The transcript is spliced from 3 exons. NCBI's taxonomy places the organism in Eukaryota, Metazoa, Chordata, Actinopteri, Pleuronectiformes, Pleuronectidae.
UGUUCCAGAUCUGGCUGAGACCGGCAUGUGACCAAAUGACGAAUGUUUUCUGUUCUUUUGCUGAACCUCUGAACAGGUGAAAAGUGCCCUGCCAUCUGCAGCCAAGCAGACCUCCAUAACCUGAAACCUGGGGACUGGGUUCUCAUUAAGGGUCCCAUCUGUUCACUGGAAACAGAGGCUGGCCACUGAGUAACACAAGGGUUAACACAAGGGUUCCCGCAAGCAAUUGUCAGCUUAUCCAAGAGCCCUGCAACGAAACAGACCCACCUGCACGCCACACUGACUGGGAGACAGCUCAAAGAGCUAAACAAAACCAAGUCACCAGAACGUGCUGAAGUUUAAUCUGGACUGUAAGCGAUCACCGCUCCAUGGUAAACAACUGAACAAGGUGUGAUAUAGCUCAAUCUUCCAAACGUAGAGUGUCAAGCUCCAACAAGUGAUGUGCAAAAGAGUGUUUGUAACACCGAGACAGAUAACCUAACCUUACCUUACAGUUAAAAUCUGAGGGAUGCAUUGUUUCUAUGUGUUUUUGCAUGUAUGUAGCCCUAUGUGAAUGCAUGGGAGAGAGGGAAGAGAUAGGGUUUAGAGAUCGACAGCCAACUCUCCCUAACCGCCAGCAUUGCUGCAACAAUGCUUUUCACUCAGAAGGCAGCACAGGUUCUGGUCCAGGCUCUUGUCAUCUCAUGCCCAGAGUACUGCAACUCCCCCCUGGCUGGUCUCCCUGCUAGUGCCAUCCGACAUCUGCAGCUCAUCCAGAAUGUGGCAGCUCAACUGGUCUUCAACCUACCUACGUUUUCUCAGACUGCACCAGGACUUGGCUCCCUUCACUGGUUACCAGUGGCUGCCCAUAUCUGCUUAAAGACACUAGUACUUGAGUACUGGGAUCCAAAUGGAUUGGGCACAGCCUACAUCCAGGACAUGGUUAAACCUUACACCCCAGCACCCCAGUCUAUGCUGCUCUGCAUUGGCCAUUCGGCUUGCUGCUCCCUCACUGCGAGGGACAUCUAGUCACUCAACAAAAUCAUGACUGUUUACUGUUCUGGCUCCCAAAUGGUGGAACGAACCCCUUGACAUCAGAACAGCACAAAGUCUUCACAUCUUCCACUACAGGCUAAAAACACAUAUUUUCCGAAGACACCUUGGCUAAGAAGAUUGAUUGUAUAAUAAUAAAAAAAAUAGUUGCACUUAUAUGCUACAUGUUAGUUCAUGUGGCACUUUGUAGUUUGGCUUUUGUGAAGCUUAUGUACUUACAUGAUUCUUGCUGAUCUCAGUUUGUUUGGUUCAAUGCACUUAUUGGAAGUUGAUUUGAAAAAAGGGUCAAUUAAAUGAUAUGUAAUGUAUGUAAUGCUUAUAUUUAAAAGUAAGAUGCAAUUUAGCCAAAAAAGACAAUAACAUUUUGGCACCUGUAAUUUGCUCUUCCCCUGCAGCAGCUGAGUGUGCAGCAGCUCUCUGUUUUUGAUGGCAGCACCCAACUCGCCCUGCAAAGCAUCAGACCUCUCAUGACCAAACACAGAGUCCAGCAGGUCUCCCUUCACAUGCAGCAGACUGAAAUGCUCCUGCAACUGGACACCAUCCUUCAGCAGGCGCUAACAAAAGGAAACACAUUAUCACAAUGUUGCAUUAAAAAAAAUACCUCAACACUAUACACUAAACUAAACUAAACACUAGAAUUAGGUGUUUACAGAAAUAUUAUACACUUGCUAAUGCAACUUCUUGAUCCAAUUUACAUACUUACCCACACAACGUUUCCGGUUCUACUACAGACAAUCUCUCCAUAUAGAAUUUCAUACAGAACUACAUACAGACUUUAACAGCACUAUAGUUCUGCCACACUGAAACAACUAAAACAAGCUUGAUUACCUCAGAUUUAGUUAGCCAUGCGGCAGUUUACAGGCAGCAUGCUGAUUGUAGAAAAGUCAACCAGAGCAGUGACUGCAGAAUUCAAUGUCUCUCAUUCAACUACCAGCAGUGUACGAUUUCUUUAAGCAUUUGGCUGAAAUAUGAAUCAUCUGCGCGUCUGCUGACAAUGUGUCACCACACUAGCACAAGGACCAUUAGUUAUGAAAGUGGACCAUUACUUUUUUUAACAGUAGAUUGAGACAGGAAAUAUUACUUUGUACAGUAUCUGUGAAAGUGCCACUUCUUGAUGUUGGACACACAGUUCAAGUUAAAGAGGACUUUUUCUGCAUGAAUGAGGAAGGCAAUUUAAAUAUUUCUGAAGGAUGUCUGUGUGUUUUACCUCUAUGUUCUGGACUAUCAUGGCAAUAUGGGAGAAGUCAGUAACCUCAGCAGAUGCCUCCAACACCUGAGGAACCAUGUGGCUCCAUUGGGUGUAGACCAGCAGUGGGUCCUGGAGAAUAUUUCUCAGUCCUGACUGCAGCUCUGAACACAGCCUGGUUGCUCUAGAUUUCACACUGCAACAAAAGCACACAACAGAUUUACAAUCAAGAUUCUUGUAGAAGGAAUUUAAAAGCAGUCAGUGUUUAUUUUUAUAUAUUAUGUACAGUAUACAACAAAACAGAGUACAAUCCUAGUCAGUAUAACUAAAAUGUAAAUAAUUUAUGAAUCCUGUAUAUUCAAUUCCAUUUAAACCCUCUGGAGUCUCAGCCAUUUCUCCCUAUUUUUGGUUUGCCUAGUCUCCUUGUGUAAUAAUGCUUGUAUGACCUCAACUCUGUAAGGCACAAUCAAGUUAUAUCACUUUUUUUUUUCAGGACAGCCAGGGCUGUUACAAUAUGUAUACUGCAGUGAUGUUCCAUGAAUAUAUAUAAAUAUCUAUAUAAUCAUAAAGACAGAAGAAAAUAUCAAAUGGAAAUUGAAUCUUAUUGAAAUCUCCUUAAAUAACACGGAGAACAAUAAUGAACACGAUUUUUGGCUUUAGGAAAUUGUUUCCCCAAUUCUGGGUAAUCAGGAGAAAAACAUGAACACACAACAAAAAGUAUUCACAUUCUUUCCAAGAUGUGUCCUUCUGUUUAUAUUUACAACACAGUUGUGCCAUGCCUCAAAGCUGAUCCUAUCGUCAAUGAGACGGGGCUACAUCAAACCACUUCUACUACUACUACUACUACUACAACUGAUUUGGAGGAACCAUUGAGGGUUUUCACAAUGGUAAAACAAUAGCAAUUUCCGUUGUAAGAUGGGUGUUUCCUUCAUCAACAACUGGCGUUUGACUACUGACAGAGUGAACAGGGUUAAUACAGGCAAAGCAAAUGCAAUAGCCCUAGUAUUUGUGAAGUGGAGUGAAGUUAGCCAAUUACUCUCCCUGGUUUAUAAGGCAGUAGGAGAGCUACCAUGGGGAGAGAGGGAAGAGACUGGACAAUGAGC